This 253-nucleotide ribosomal RNA is filed under the name uncultured bacterium. RNAcentral's name for it is "partial 16S ribosomal RNA". It matches the Rfam family "Bacterial small subunit ribosomal RNA", at positions 524 to 776 of the family's 1533-position model. The record is from RNAcentral.
UACGUAGGGGGCAAGCGUUGUCCGGAAUCAUUGGGCGUAAAGAGCGCGUAGGCGGCCCUGUAAGUCCGCUGUGAAAGUCAAGGGCUCAACCCUUGGAUGCCGGUGGAUACUGCAGGGCUAGAGUCCGGAAGAGGCGAGUGGAAUUCCUGGUGUAGCGGUGAAAUGCGCAGAUAUCAGGAGGAACACCGAUGGCGAAGGCAGCUUACUGGGCCGAUACUGACGCUGAGGAGCGAAAGCGUGGGGAGCGAACAGG